This 61-nucleotide small RNA is filed under the name Saccharolobus solfataricus. The record is from RNAcentral. Lineage: Archaea; Thermoproteati; Thermoproteota; Thermoprotei; Sulfolobales; Sulfolobaceae.
UUUUUCUGCUCUCCGCCACUCUGUUGUUGUUGCCCACCUUGCUCCUUCUUCUUCUUGGCCA